UAAUUUUUCAACGCCUGUCAGUUUGCCU
Molecule: non-coding RNA, 28 nt
Filed under: Mus musculus (house mouse)
Lineage: Eukaryota; Metazoa; Chordata; Mammalia; Rodentia; Muridae
Source: RNAcentral